Long non-coding RNA from Magnolia sinica, 5006 nucleotides. RefSeq lists it as uncharacterized. The transcript is spliced from 3 exons. The record is from RefSeq and is a predicted model, not a curated record. Lineage: Eukaryota; Viridiplantae; Streptophyta; Magnoliopsida; Magnoliales; Magnoliaceae.
UAGAUUUGAAGGACAAUGACUUAAGAGUAAGGGGAUUAGAGAUUUCAGUGCCAUUUUUGCAAGGUUUAUAACUUUAAGAGAGGUGUUUUGUGUGGAUGUUGCUGAUAUUUAUAAUACAAUCUCCCUCCUGUAUUUCAUGCAUGCUAACUAUUUGACGAAAUGUCUCAACAAGGAAUGUUUUGUGUGGGUGUAGCUGAUAUUUAUAAUACAAUCUCCCUCUUGUAUUUGAUGCAUGCCAACUAUUUGAUGAAAUGGCUCAACAAGGAAUGUUUUGUGUGGAUGUAGUUGAUAUUUAUAAUACAAUCUCCCUCUUAUAUUUCAUUCACGCUAAUUGUUUGAUGAAAUGGCUCAACAAGGAAUAUUUGAGGGUUUGGAUUCAACAUUGGUCUGAUGGAGCCACCAUCCAGCUCUUCAUAUUUGCUGUCCAAUCUGAGACUUAAUACUUCUAAUUUUAGUUGUUCAUCAUCUUUAUCUUUGCUACAACUUCUCCACUUAACUUCCUUCUUGUGCCCACUUAAACUUGUUCCAAGGCUAAGUGAAACAAGUUCAUGCUCUUCUUCAAUUUCAUUGAACUGAUUGAAGUGCUUAGAGGUGUUUAUGCAUCCGUUUGUUUAUUGCUCAGGUGUUGCAAUCUUGAUUUGUGUAAAUAACCUAAGGGGCCUUGAAGAUUCUCACUGUUCUAGCAGAGGGGUUACAAUCUUAGAUUCAGCCCAGCUGCUGGAUGCUUUCAACAGGCUGACAUGUCAUAAGAUGUCUGUGAAAAUUCACAGUGGAGAAACAUAAUGAUACUUUUAGACAUAAGAUGCAGUCAUUUAUGAGAAUCAUCUUUCUUUUCUAAAGUUCAUCAAGAUUGAUAAAUUUUCCUUUUGCAACAAACCAUCCAAAAAAUAACCACCUUUCUUGGUACCCUUGGGAAUUGCCAAAUGUGUGCAUCUAAUUCAUGAUUGAAAGCCUUGAUGUGAAGGUCCCAUUAGAACCCAACUCCCAUCUCCACCUAUCUCUCUUCCCCGAGAUAGAAACAAUGUUGUUGUUGUUUUUUUUUUCUUCUUCUUGUAGUAUGACAAACUCCUGAAUUUCUGUUUCCAUUAGGUUCAUGGGAAAACAAGGAUUCCAUCUAAAUGCACCUCCCUCUUAACAUAAAACAAUCUGCUCUCCUUAAAAAUCUCCUGUCCAAGUUUGUACUGUAUAAAUUUCAGAAGAGGUAAUGUAUACUACUCAAAGGUAAGUCUUCUUUCAUUGCCCAUAUAAAAUUACGUAAUUCCUCUUUUAAAUUAUGAAAUUACGAUCAGUGAGUUGAUUUAGCCUUCACAUAUUAAGGGCAUUAAAGUAUUUUUCUUCUUGUACAGGUGUAAUUACAAAUAUUCCCUUUGAAAACAAUAUUUAUGAAAUUUAUGUUAUUGAAAUUUAUAUGCUUUCUAUUUUUCCUGCAAGUGUUUUCAUUUUCUUAUUAGAAUUGACUCUUACUGAAUCAAUGCCUGAGCGGUUAAUGGGGACGGAUUACAAAUUCACUGGCAAUAUGUCUACAUUGCCUCGAAUCUAGCUAAGUGUCAUUGUCGUGAAGAGAAAACCUUGAUACUCUGGAAGAAUGUGAUGUUUCAUACACAUGCACACAGAAAUUGUGAUGUGGUAAAGAGGUAACCAGAACUGAACUGUGCAAAUCAGAGCCCACUUUACAUGGGUCAUGAACAAAAAUUUGAUGGAACUGAUAUGUUACCUGGCCAGUUGGUUACUUCUAAAUAGAAGGUUGAAAUCCAAAUAGUCAACUUUCCAAAUUUGGCAAACAGAUGUGUAUCAAUACAAGGAUUAGUCUCUCCUUUUAAGGUCGUAUUCAGCUUUGUCAUGGCACUGUAUUUUUAUAGUUUUUUUUAGUUUUUUGUGUUGUAUAGCGGUUCUAUAUGAUGAUAGGUGUGGCCUGUUCCUUCUUGAGGAGCCCACCCAAAUGAUUAUACAACAUGUUUUUUUUUUUAAUAAAAAAGAAAAAAAAUUGAAACUCAUCUGAAAAUCAGGGUGGGAGAUGUUCUUCCAGUGGUCCAGUAUCAUCUGAAGGUUAGGCUGCAAGUUUCAGUUAUGUUCCUACAAAGUGUUAGGCAACUAGUCGUUGCCACUUUCAGAACCUGUCUUUCAGCAAACUGGCGUGCCCAUAACCAUGAUGUGAAUGUUCUUUUGUUCAGACUGUCGUUCUGUUUUGUUCCCUUGUGUAGCAGUAUAGAUGGUUGCAGAUAGGAGUGGGCUGUUGUGGACUGAUGCGCUGCUCUGAUCUGCUGAUGUUCAUAGGGAUGGCUAUGCUAUGCUAAUUGAAUUUAUAUAUAAGUGUGUGUGUGUGCGUGCAUGCGCCUUUGCUGAAUUCUUAUCUGCGAUUCCUUUGUAAUUCCCUCUCCUUCUUGCAUGCCAUGUGUGUGUGCCUUUGCUAAAUUCUUAUCUGCGAUUCCUUUGUAAUUCACUCUCCUUCCUGGAUGCCAUACUUUAUGACAAUUACUUGUGUUGGUUCUCAAAGGUUCAUAACCACUUGCCAAUGAGUGCCCAAUUAAUGAUUGUUAAGUCCUUCAUGCAUAUAUGACUUUUCUAUUGAGGAUGGCAGGCUUCCUUCCAAUUAACCAAAUGAUAAGUAUUUUGAUUGAUGACAUGGAGUAAAUUGGCAAAUUUGAGAGAGCUUCCUUUCUUUAUAAGAGUGAAUGUUCUACCUCCUAAUGAUCACGAUGAUGUUGCAGCUUGUAUUGUCAGGCUUCGGUCUGCCACAACCCAAACAUAUGGUAUAUCAAGAGAGAAGUAGCAACUUCCCCACUGUUUUAUAUGAAACACACCAUAAUUUGAUUAAUUAUCCUUUAAUUAAACAAAAAGAGGAACAUUUCAUAUUUUAUUUACUCUGUUUUCUUUCUUUUCUUCGUAGAGAUACAAAUUGGGGAUUGCAAAUCAACCAUUCAAUUUCAAGCAUGGCAAAUGUGGCAAGGAGUUCUGUAGUGCCACAAGGUAGAGAAAGAAGGGCUAGACUGGUAUGUUAGUUACACACCAUUUAAAAAUGGCGGUGACUCUUCCAAUCUACAUAUGGCAUAGUUGUAUUGCUAUCCGGACCAUGCAAAUCAAUGACGUAACUGUGGAUAGAUCAUAACAAAACCAUAGUGCCAACAAGAUGGAAAACCAUCUUAUUUUUCAUUUGAAUUUGGAUCACUCACUAUUUUACUUUUAACCAUUCAUUUGUUAGCCAUUGAUUGGAUGAUUAGGAUUGUUUGAUUAGUGUCAUGUUUACAGAUUGAUCCAUGGGUCAAUGAGGAGGAUCCAUGCCUGCCAAACAGUGGACAUCGGAGGCCUUUUUAUGAUGGGUUGCUGACAUCAUCAUUUGCUAGUGAUGUCGGAGCCCAUGGGUCUCCAAACAGUAUGCACGUGCUGUCUUCUUUUUUUUUUUUUUGCAGCACCCUGCAUCAUUUCUUUCGUAUGCAUGUGUCUGCAGUUGGGGAGAGUCAUACUUGUGCUCUUUCUCUGGACAUACAAUAGCAUGCAUGUGAGAUGUUGUUUUCUUGAUGUUCUUUUGUUUUCAUAUGUAUUUGAGGGAAUGGGUAUUGUAUGUUGGAACAAAAGGUUGCUGAUAUCAGGUAUCUCUAGAGUCGUUCCAUGCAUUUCCAUUUCAUCUCCACUGGGAAAGGCCAACUUUGUUGUAGUGACGGCGCAGAAAAUAUGCCAAAGAUUGGAUUGAUUUGGGAUGAAUUUCUUUUUAUGCUAGGGGAGGUAUUUUGUAAAUGGGCUCAUAUGAUAGGCAACAUCCCAAGGUUUUAAUGGGAUCAUGCCGGAAUGUAGCAGUCUUGUUACAAGUUUGUUAAUAAAUAAAAAAAAGUUUAUGUUGAAAAAAGGAAGAAGAAGAAAAGAAGAUAAACCCAUGCCUAGCCCAUUUCAGGCUGGUCUCGUGUACCAUUGGGUUACCAUGCCCAUAGCGACCCUUACUCUUGACUAAAUUUAAGAAAUUUGUAAUUCUUUUUAAUAAAUUUUUCUUAUUCUUAAAAACACUAUAACAGGACAGUAUUUUCUUAGUGAAAUGUGUAAAUUAGCAGCAAUACGAUGAACUUUACUAUGAUGUCUUGAAGACCCAUUUACGGUUGAUAUUAGAUUUCGAGUUUGUGAUGUUAUUUUCAUUUUUACUACAUUUUAUCUUUUAAUUGGGUGUGAUCCAAAUUCAUUUGAAGGCACUGCAUGGGUUCUUUUUCUUUUUCUGUUUUUAAAUUCCAAUUACCUGUACAAGCCCCAUUUUGCUUCUUCUGUAAAUCUUGUGGAAUUGGGCUCAUUUAACAUACAAUUAGUUUAAAUUCUAAUAAUAGUGUUGAACUUGUCUAUGUUCUUUUGCGAUUCUCUUUAGAUUUUGAUUGAAUGGUUAUGGAAUUUAGUCAUUUCUUUCUUUCUUUCUUUCUUUUUUUUUUUUUAAAAAGUAAAAAUCUGUUUGACCACGAGUAGGAUUCUAAUCCUACUUGCAUGAAUUGCCUUCACAUUUCUCUUCGCUAGUUUGUCUGCGUCCAACAAAAACAAGGUUAGAGUUCAUGUAUUUCGGGGACGUUACGCUAAAUUAGGAUAGUAAUCCAUGGCCUGAUCUGCUUCUCAUUUAUUCUUGGACUAAACUCCCUAAGUAUUAUUGCUUUCUUUCUCAUUUUAGUUUUUUACUCUUAUAGGCUUUAAAUUUUGUUUUCUUUUGUGCAGCAUUUCAAAAAGUUAUGUGUGACACCAGCUUAUUAGAGACCCGAAAAAGCGGCUGACCACCUAUGAAUUUCGGUGUAAAAGAUACAAUAAAAGUGGAUUUUUUAUCUCCUUCUCAUGAUUCCAGGAAUAUCAUCUCUUCUUGAGGUGAAUGUAGAAGGACAUCAGGUUUCGGCUACUGGAUUUCAGAAGGGUGUUGCAGGGAGCAUAGAUCUAUUGCCAAAAUAUCAGAUCUGAGGUUACAUGAUUGUCUUUUUGAGGAUUUUGAGAGUCAGACCGAGUAAUUCUCACAACAGAAAACAAUCAAGUCCAACCGUUUGAUCUGGAUCACG